CAGCCGCCGCGGUAAUACAGAGGGUGCAAGCGUUAAUCGGAUUUACUGGGCGUAAAGGGCGCGUAGGUGGUUACGUAAGUGAGAUGUGAAAUCCCCGGGCUCAACCUGGGAACUGCAUCUUAUACUGCGUAGCUGGAGUGCAGUAGAGGGUAGUGGAAUUUCCGGUGUAGCGGUGAAAUGCAUAGAUAUCGGAAGGAACACCAGUGGCGAAGGCGGCUACCUGGACUGACACUGACACUGAGGCGCGAAAGCGUGGGGAGCAAACAGGAUUAGAUACCCCGGUAGUCCCUGUCUCUUAUAC
RNAcentral lists this ribosomal RNA (301 nucleotides) under uncultured bacterium. RNAcentral's name for it is "partial 16S ribosomal RNA". It matches the Rfam family "Bacterial small subunit ribosomal RNA", at positions 509 to 807 of the family's 1533-position model. The record is from RNAcentral.